Molecule: long non-coding RNA, 768 nt
Organism: Passer montanus (Eurasian tree sparrow)
Lineage: Eukaryota; Metazoa; Chordata; Aves; Passeriformes; Passeridae
Exons: 3
Source: RefSeq, a predicted model, not a curated record
GCCCCGGCCGGCCCAGCGCUGAGGGAGCCGCAGCAACGCCCACACGGGGGGAAAAUCAUGCCGUGGUGAUAAAGCGACUGUGUGAAGUCACAGAGGUACUGCCUGGCAAUAAGCGCAUUGUUGGAGGUGCCACAUCCAGGGAUAGAGACUCCACCUCUGCCCUGUGUCAGGGCCUGACAACCCCUCCUGUGAAGCAAUGUCUUGAAGACAAGAGGAACAGAACUGCAUGCCAACUGUAUCCUGAGCGCAGAACUACUCCUGUGACCAUGGAGCAUUCAACAAAGGUUAUGAGUAUUAUCUGUUACAGCACAAGUAUCUCUGCCUUUGAUUGGAGCUCCUGGACAGCUCACAGGACUCCUUCCUCCAAACAUCCCAUCCUACACUUGGCAGUAAUUUGGUCCUUGCCCUUAGAAGUAAAUCCUUUGGCUUAAGGUAAAUAUCUAACCUAUUUUCCUUUUAUUUUACUUCUUGUUAUAACUUCACUUUGUGAUCUUCAUGGCAAAAGAUGAAGUAGGUCAUUAUUGCAUACGUCAAAUUAGCCUGGAGAAAUUAGCCUGGGGAAAGAAGGCUCAGGAAGGACCUUGUGGUUCUCCACAACUCCCUGACAGGAGGGGGCAGCCAGGUGGGGGUCAGGCUGUGCUCCCAGGGAACAAGGGACAGGAGGAGAGAAAUAGCUUCAACUUGUUCCAGGGGAGGUUCAUGUUGGAUAUUAGGGGGAAAUUCUGCCUGGAAGGGGUUGUCAGUCCUGACACAGGCUGCCCAAUGCAU